CGGCAGCACGGGGGCAACCCUGGUGGCGAGUGGCGAACGGGUGAGUAAUACAUCGGAACGUGCCCUGUAGUGGGGGAUAACUAGUCGAAAGAUUAGCUAAUACCGCAUACGACCUGAGGGUGAAAGCGGGGGACCGCAAGGCCUCGCGCUACAGGAGCGGCCGAUGUCUGAUUAGCUAGUUGGUGGGGUAAAAGCCUACCAAGGCGACGAUCAGUAGCUGGUCUGAGAGGACGAUCAGCCACACUGGGACUGAGACACGGCCCAGACUCCUACGGGAGGCAGCAGUGGGGAAUUUUGGACAAUGGGGGCAACCCUGAUCCAGCAAUGCCGCGUGUGUGAAGAAGGCUUCGGGUUGUAAAGCACUUUUGUCCGGAAAGAAAUGGCUCUGGUUANGACCCG
Molecule: ribosomal RNA, 399 nt
Filed under: 2,4-D-degrading bacterium 017
Lineage: Bacteria; Pseudomonadati; Pseudomonadota; Betaproteobacteria; Burkholderiales
Description: bacterial SSU rRNA
Rfam family: Bacterial small subunit ribosomal RNA
Source: RNAcentral